RNAcentral lists this ribosomal RNA (1452 nucleotides) under uncultured bacterium VC2.1 Bac32. RNAcentral describes it as "bacterial SSU rRNA". It matches the Rfam family "Bacterial small subunit ribosomal RNA". The record is from RNAcentral.
AAUGAACGCUGGCGGCGUGCUUAACACAUGCAAGUCGAACGGUAACAGGAGAGAGCUUGCUCUCUUGCUGACGAGUGGCGCACGGGUGAGUAAUAUAUAGAUAAUGUGCCUCUUAGUCUGGGAUAGCCAUUGGAAACGAUGAUUAAUACCGGAUACUCCUUCUUAUCAAAAGAUAAGUUGGGAAAGUUUUUCGCUAAGAGAUCGGUCUAUAUCCCAUCAGUUAGUUGGUAGUGUAAGAGACUACCAAGACGAUGACGGGUAGCGGGUUUGAGAGGAUGAUCCGCCACACUGGUACUGAGACACGGACCAGACUCCUACGGGAGGCAGCAGUGAGGAAUAUUGCACAAUGGGGGAAACCCUGAUGCAGCAACGCCGCGUGGAGGAUGACGCAUUUCGGUGUGUAAACUCCUUUUAUAUGUCAAGAAAAUGACGGUAGCAUAUGAAUAAGCACCGGCUAACUCCGUGCCAGCAGCCGCGGUAAUACGGAGGGUGCAAGCGUUAUUCGGAAUCACUGGGCGUAAAGGACGCGUAGGCGGGUUGGCAAGUCAGAUGUGAAAUCCUACAGCUUAACUGUAGAACUGCAUUUGAAACUGCCGACCUAGAGUAUGGGAGGGGGAGAUGGAAUUAGUGGUGUAGGGGUAAAAUCCGUAGAUAUCACUAGGAAUACCGAAAGCGAAGGCGAUCUCCUGGAACAUAACUGACGCUAAGGCGUGAAAGCGUGGGGAGCAAACAGGAUUAGAUACCCUGGUAGUCCACGCCCUAAACGAUGUUCACUAGUCGUCGCUCUGCUAGUCAGGGCGGUGAUGCACUUAACAGAUUAAGUGAACCGCCUGGGGAGUACGGUCGCAAGAUUAAAACUCAAAGGAAUAGACGGGGACCCGCACAAGUGGUGGAGCAUGUGGUUUAAUUCGAAGAUACGCGAAGAACCUUACCUAGCCUUGACAUUGAGAGAACCUGCCAGAGAUGGCGGGGUGCCCUUCSGGGAGYUCGAAAACAGGUGCUGCACGGUUGUCGUCAGCUCGUGUCGUGAGAUGUUGGGUUAAGUCCCGCAACGAGCGCAACCCUUGCCCUGUGUUACCAGCGGGUUAUGCCGGGUACUCACAGGGGACUGCCGGCGAUAAGCCGGAGGAAGGAGGGGAUGACGUCAGGUCAGUACGCCCUUUAUGCCCUGGGCUACACAGGCGCUACAGUGGCAGGGACAAUGGGUCGCGAAGCCGCAAGGCGGAGCUAAUCCCAAAAACCCUGUCGUGGUGCGGAUUGGGGGUUGCAACUCACCCCCAUGAAGGCGGAAUCGGUAGUAAUGGCGGAUCAGCAAUGCCGCCGUGAAUACGUUCCCGGGUCUUGUACACACCGCCCGUCACGCCACGGGAGUUGGGUCCAUCGGAAGUCCCCGAGCUAACCAGUCCUUCGGGACUGGAGGCAGGGGCCGAUGAUGGUCCGGCGACUGGGGCG